UUGAAAUGUUUUAAGCCAUUAUUUAAAGCUUUUUACUAAAAUUCGUUAACAGUGAGCAUCUUUAAUUUUCUAGUUCGCGGCUUCCCUUUUCGCCCGUUUUCGAACCAAAGCUUAAAGCGCCCUCUCUCGGAUGUUCAUGCAAGCAAUCAUUCUCGAUAGCGUUCAGUUGCGAAGUGCUCGGAUUUGUUAAAAGUUAACUUAAGUGGUGUUUUUUAAUUAAUUGCGCGAAUCGCCAAUUGCAAGUGCAAGUGCAAAGACAAAACGGGCAAAGACAAGGUUAGCCGCUGAAAAAGCCGUCUUGGCUUUAAAUCAAAACAAGUGCAGCGAAAAAGGCAAACAAGAAAACCAACAACACUGCACAGAACAAAUUUGCAGAUAUCGGCCGUCAAGUGCAAUAUGCUGAUAAGACGGGAGAAUCCAAAGGAGGAAGAAGAACUCAAAUCCAGACGGAUUUUAUGGCCAAAAUAAAUGACGAACAGCAAACACGGCAAACGGCAAACGGCAAAUGGCAAAUGGCAUCGAAAGGAACAGGCUAAUAAAAAGCCAUUAAAACCAAGUUCAGGCAGGUCAUAUUUUGAAACUCCUCGAUUUCGAAAACUGUGCGCUGAGAGGAAGAUUCAAGCAUAUUGAUAGCAGAGAGGUGCUGAAACCACGAAUGGAUGAAUUGGUAGUUGGCUGCGCGAAAAUUGAUCCGUACUUACCAUAAAUAUCUGUACUUACCAUAAACAUUUAAUACAUACCUGUAAACAAUGCAUGAAAUAAAGUAUUUUAUUGAACAACAAAA
This is a long non-coding RNA of Drosophila santomea, 784 nucleotides long. RefSeq lists it as uncharacterized. The transcript has 5 exons. Lineage: Eukaryota; Metazoa; Arthropoda; Insecta; Diptera; Drosophilidae. The record is from RefSeq and is a predicted model, not a curated record.